RNAcentral lists this long non-coding RNA (17468 nucleotides) under Jatropha curcas. Its description in RNAcentral is "long non-coding RNA (JCUR_LNC003367)". The record is from RNAcentral. Lineage: Eukaryota; Viridiplantae; Streptophyta; Magnoliopsida; Malpighiales; Euphorbiaceae.
AAGCGAUAUGCUGGAGGAUAUCAGAGUAGAAAUAGUUCUCAAGGCAUGUGCCAUGGAGAAAUAUAAGAAUUGGGUAGGUGCCAGCUACAGUUGGUCUAGCAAUUAAUAAGGGUUUAGGAGGUGAAGAUUGAACAUUAUCUAAUACUGUGGACAACGUUCCUGGUUCAAAAACACUGAUUGUUUCCUGGUCACGAUAAUUAAAAGGUUUAUGAUUAGCUUCCUUUAGUACUGGCUUAGUAUCAGAAACAGAAGAAGUUAGAAGUAUUGCAAACAGAGUUAUGAGUAGUUUUGCCAUGUUCAUGAUACAGUGUUACUUGUGAGAAAGUAUAACCUAGAUCUCCCCCUUCUUAUAGAGUUGGAAAAUGUUAUUAAUGCAUACUUAAUUUAGGAUGUAAUUUACAAACAGCCAAUUCAAUGAUGAAAUGCUUAAAGAAAAUUACAGGAAAACUGCAAGUAUUCUAUAUAAUGAAGAAAAAACAUAAUUAUUAUUAUUUUUAUAUAAAAUUUUAAGGUUUGAGGAUAAAGUCAAUUGCAAUAAUUGUACUCGUGCUCCACAUUUUUUUACAUUGAUGGCGUGAUUCAUUCUAUUCACUUUAGGUGGAAAAAAGAAUUCAUUCAAUUUCGAUAUUAAAUGUAAAUAAUUCUUUUCCAUUUAUAAACUUUUAAUCCUAAAAACUUUACAGAAGAUGUGAAAUAUGAAUUGUGAGACCACCAAAUAAAAAAAAGAUGAAAGAGUCAUUUCAAUCAACGUCCCAGAAACAAUCUACUAAUAAUUUAGUGAAUUAUAUAUAUAUAUAUAUAUAUAUUCAAAUUGAAAUUGGCAUUCAAGUAAAAUCUUUUUAAUAAUACCAAGUAAAAUAAUAAAAAUUUUAGUUUGAUUUCUUCUAAAAAAUUUCAAAUCUCUAAUUUUACUUCUAAAAUUAUCUUCAAAAUUUAAUAAAAAUUUAUUUCAAGUACUGUCUUUUAUCUCUGGCAACUACUGUCUUUUUUAUCACUUUCCCAUCUCUUUUUUUCUUUUUCUUUUUCUUUGGAAGGAAACAUUUUCCUUUUUACUUUAGCAGCUUUUGUAACUUAUUAUUUUGCAAAAAGUACAAUAUAAUAUCAUCAAGAUACAUCGUUGCUAAAACACCGUCAAAUUAAUUUUACCUUUUUCAAAUUUAUACUAUAUAUAAAAAUGAAAAUAAAAGGAAAAUAAUGAAAUUUUUAAUAGCAUUCAUAAUGAAAUUUAAAAAUAUCUCAAGUCAAUUAUUUUUUAAGUCAAUCAUGUGUAAUCUGAUAAUCUUUUCAUUUAUGUGAGGAGUCUCGAGUUCGAAUCAACGUGCAACGUGGAACGCAUGUCACACAAAAAGAAUAGUAAUUUAUAAAUAUCAAUUUCCACGUUUUUUAGCACUGAAUUAUCAUACCGUUUAUGAUUUUUCAAACAAGGGGACAAAAGAUUCCAUAUCGAUUAUGAAUCACAAGAAAUUAAAAAAUCUGUUUCCUUGUCGUCGGUGUUAAUUUUCAGGAAUGAAAUGAUAUCCACGAGGAAACAAUUCAUUGAAUCGAAAGGAAAUAAUGUGUUUCAAAGCCUCCAAGUGACAAAGAUAGUAUGAACACGUUCAUGAAUCAUGGCCAACCAGAAAUAAGUCAGUACUAGAGAUAAAUAAACAAAUUUUUACGUCCACUCCAACAUUAUCUUUGCUUGAAAAUGUAUUAUAAUUUGUAAAAUAUGACAAUUAUAAUUUUUUUUUUCUAUAUUUAACAAGAAAGAUUGGUGGUUGUGACUGACCGGUGCAACCAGACAUUAGUAAAAAAAUUUAUUAUUUUAUUUAUACAAUUCAUUUUUAUAAGAAAAUCAUUAAAAUUGAAUAAAAGAUGAAAUUAUAAAUAAACAGUUAAUAUGAUAAUUCUAAAAUAACUUGAAAUAUUAAAAUAAUAUUAAUUCUAACUCAUAGUAAAUAAUUUACAUUAAGAAUUUCUACAUGAAAUUUAUAAUAAUUUAAUUCAAUAAAAUUAAUCAUGUGCUGAGAAAAAAAAAAAAAAAAAGUCAUUGACAAUAACAAAGAGUAGUGGGCUAGAAAUUUGGGACUCCCAUUAUCCAAAUAUGUACUAAGCUCUGAACUUUAUUUGAAGGCCAACCGAGCCCAGACUCAGGUUUUCAGCCUUUUCCAAGUAAACCCAACGGCUUAUUUGUCCAUGGCUAAUUCUGGGUUUAGCAGAAACCAAAACUUUGACUGCAAUGAGAGAAUUUUAUUUUUUGGAUAAAGAACUUGUUAAAAAAGAGAGUCACUCAGAGGAUUGAUGCUAAGUUCUAAUAAAGCAAUAAUCUUUUUUUAUUCGUAAGAAAGAAGAUGCCCAUUUCACAAAAACGACAAACCAAAAAUCCCCAUUUUAUUCUAAAUAAAAAGAAAAAUUUACCUUUUUGCGUGUUCUCUUGCUCUACGUACACGUGUUUUCUAGUGCUAUAGAAUAGAAUAAAAUGAAAGUGUAGGAUUUUUCUAGAUCUAGACAUUACAUGCUCCAUUCAGAAAGUAGAAUAAUGCAAUGCAGGAGUUUUUGUACAACCAUGUACAUUUGUAAGUAUAAUUAAUUAUAGUCAGAAAAAGAAAAAGGAGGAGAUAAUAAAGAUAAAGACCUUUCUCAAAUAUCGCCAAGGGUAUAUCAACUGCAAUCCUAGACAAGUCAAAGACCGUCUUUGUUGACCAAGACAACAGUAGCUGCUACCCAAACCCAAACCUCUUUCCUUUGAAGUUUGAACACCCCAGCAAGAACAUGCCGUUCAAAUUCCAGACACAAGGGUAUUAUUAAAACGCUGACGCAAUCGUCCUCAUUACAAACUUGACUCAAGUCAACUAAGUCUAUCCAUAAAGAGAUGACUAAGGGCCAAAAUAAGGGAGGAAAACUAAAUGGCCUAAAUAAUCUUACAAAAGCUGGGCUACUCCAUGCUCUCUGCUUCCCCACACACACAAUUUUUCCUUAAAAAAAAAAAAAAUGGCUGAUACAUCUGCAAGCACCUCCUUUAAAUGCACAAUAUUAAAUAAAUAUUGAUGAUAAAAAGGCCGCCAAUCCAAUAACAUUAACUAAGAAAGAAAUCAAGGCACAACCUAGGGGAAACCGAGUCGUUCUCCUUGGCUAAGUGAUGGACCGAAGGAUCACCGGGAACAUCAUGCUUUGGAGGAUCAAGUCGCCUGUACGGAACCAGUUCCUCAGGCGACGGGGUGAUCCGAGUGUCGGCGCUCGUUUCCUUCAAGGAAACAGGGGAAGUUGCAGGGGCCUGUAAAAUACAACAUCAAUUAGUAAAUAAAAACAUUGUUGCAUUAUAGAAAUCAAAAAAUAUAUAUAUAAAUAUGUUUGUAAUAAUAUAUAAUAGCUAAAAAUAAAUUAAUAGUAAGAGGGUGGUUAAUGGUUGGAAAACGCACGCGAUUAGGAUUAUCCGGGCGGGGAAUGUAGAGUCUUCUUCGAGGUUCGUUGCCAUUCCAAUCCGGCGUCGUUUCAAGAAGCGUUUUGAGAGAGAUCACUUGCUGAAUUGCUUGCGAUUUGUUCCACGACGGCCGUCUCAUACCUGCAGCAACACACCAUUCACUCACUGUAUUUUCACAUAUUCAAAUACCAAUAAAUACACGCAUAUAUACAUAGAGAGACCUUUCUCUUUGAGGUAUCGUCGGCAAUCUUCGCGAGUGAGCUGAGAAAUGUCGUCUUCAGUGAGUUGUUGGAGCGGUUUGUCGAGAGGAGGCCGGGAAAUGGUCUCCGCCGGUUGCAUGGUGUUGUAUUCCGGCCAGUAAUCGGGGAUGCCAAGCUCGAGAAGCAAGGAUGAUUACUGAGAUUUUUCACAGUUUCCACCAAUUUUUGGCGAUUUUGCGGUAAAUAAGAGUGUACUUUUUGAGCGUUUUGUUAAUGGGAGUGGGCGAGAGAGUGAGUGCGUAGAGGUUGAGUUGAGACUUGAGGGGCAUUUUGGGACACUGCGGCUCUCGCCUUUGUAUUUUUCUAAAGGCUUGUUCAUUUAUUUAUUUAUUACUUUGUUGGGGCUGCAACCCCAGGACGCCACGUAAUUGCUUUGACCUUUAUUACCAACAAAAAAAAUGUUUAGACAAAGAUUUAACCUUUCCAAACUACUUACAAUUCACCUAGUUCCAAAAAAAAAAAAAAAAAUCUUGUUUUUUGAUUAAAUGAUUUUUUUAUAAGAUAUUAGUACUAUUUAAUUUCUUAAUUCUGCACUAGAAUUUUUACUUUUGCUUUUUCAAAAUUGAUUUAUGAUGAGCUUACGUUUUUUGAGUAUUUUACUUUUAAAAGUAAGAGGCACAGGGUAUAUGAUAUGACUUUUUACUGUGUAAUAAAACUAAAGUGAAAGCUUAGAUUUAAGCCUUAACUUACACAGAAGCCUUUUCUCAGCUGUCGAAGAAAUUGGCUAUUCUAUUUAAGGUGUCAAGUAUUUGCAUAGGUUUUAUUUUCCUUUAGUUAGAAAGAAAAUUAAGUCAUUGAUGAUUUUUCCUUUUCUUUUAAAAAAUAAAAAUAUUUAUGUUAUUAGACAUUAACAAACCUAUUAUUUCUAUGUAGAUAUAUAUUUACUAUCAUUCCUAAUCACCAUCAUUCAUCACUACAAUCAUCACGAGUUACAGUAAAUAAUAUAAUUUAUUAUUAUAUAUAUAUGUAUUCUCAUAUUUAAUUAUACAUUUUCAUAAUAUUGAAUUUUAUAGAAUUUUAAAUAUUUUCAUAGUCUUAAAAUAUUGAAAAUAAUAAUUAUUUAACUAAUUUUUUAUGUUGCAGUCAAACAAAACAAAAGAGUUGUUUAUAAAGAUUUUCCAGAAAAAAUAUUUUUCCAUUAAAAAUAUGUUUUAAAGAUUAGUUAUUUUCCAUAGCCAUAAAAAAGUUUGCAAUGCUUCUAAAACUUUAAAGCAUAAUCCUUCUUAUUAUGACGAUAUAUUUAGAAAAAAAAAAAAAGAACAAAGUCAGAACAUUUUUUAAAAAACUCCUAGGUUUCAUUCGUUUAGUUCAUAGAUGAAGUCAAGAUUUGGUCUAGACAAGUGUUUUGCAAAAUUAUUUCAUAAUCAUGCUACCCAACAAACAACUUAAAUUAUUUUUGUUUUUGAAAAGAAGGAUUUAAUUACUUAUUUAUUCUUGCUAGGAUAUGGAUAGAUAUCCUCUGAUUUUCUUUUUUUUUUUUUUUUUUUCAAUUUCAUAUGAAUCUUUUUUUUAUAUAUAAAUCAUCCGUAUUCGGACUAUAUUAACAAAAACUGUUUAAUCCGGCUUGGAGUUUAAUCACAGUUGAAACUCUUCGCCCCUCCCUGUAGGUGCAUUUAGUAGAGAUUAAAUCCGAGAGCUCUUUCCACGUGCGUUUAGUAGGAUCAAACUCGAGAGUUUUUUCCAUAUGUCCGGUCUGCGCUAAAUAACCACAUAUCGUAAUUUUAUGUGAAUCUUUCUUCUAUGCUGUUAUUAAUGUCCGAACAAUUAAUUCAAAUUUCAUAUCUAAUUUAAUUGCAUAAGGGCAGUUUGCAUUUAUUUAUCAAAAGAAUUAUUCAAAAAAAUUAAUGCAAUACGAAGAAAGAAAUUUGAUUCCAAUAACGCAUGACAAAAAAUUCAGACAAUCACAAGCUCAUCUCUACAAAGAUAAAAAUAAAAAUUAACGAACCACCGAGUAGCUACGCUGUGGCACUUUCUUAAAGCUAGCCCACAUGAGAUCAACGUAUAAAGGAAACUGUGCUAUGGCGAAAAGGGUAACCGGCAAGCACGUUACUGCAUAAAUUGGAAACGCUGCAUAUUUCAAUUCAUCUCGAAGAACAAAGAAAUGUCCUGCACAAAACGACACCAACAGGGCCGCGAUGGACACAAACAACGACGUUAAACCUAACAAAAGCUUUUUCGGUAAGCUUCUUCCAAAAUCCUUCUCUUUGUAUCGUGAAGUCAGUAUUGCAAGAAACAUGACGACUGAUGUUACUGAGAAAGAAAGAGCCACCACAGAUGAAAUAGCGAAGGCGUUGAAUGCAGGGUGUCUUUCCAGCGUUGGCGUGCCUUUUUUUUCAUCGACUCCGCCUGGGACGGUGGCUGCUGUGGCGAAGGCAACCGUUGCUAUUAGUGCAGCCACAACAGAGCAUGAUUGGGAGGUGUUUAUUAACCAUUCGCCCCCGCUUUUCACGAGGUCCUUGUGUGUUUCACUGAAUAUGGCUUUUGCGGUUUUGUUGUCCUUGUUGUGGCGGGUGAAGAAAUGGGGUGGCAUGGACUGCUUAACAAACUGCAGUUUUUUCAACAUCGAUCAUAAGCUAUCUUAAUUAGAAGAAUGCUUGUGCAACGACAUGUUAUUAUGUGAUCUCUAUCUAUGAUUAGGAUUAUUAGACAUACCUCAUACCACUUGACCUCCCAUUGCAUUUGUAAAGCAGCGCCUGGAAUACGCCAUGGCGGAGAGUCUCCAAGCAUGGCAGCAAGGUGAAGAGCGCUAUUUCCUUUAUAAUCUAACUUACGAAAGAUACUGUCUCUCAUUACUUUCCUCUUCAGCAAAAGUUUAUAGACAUGAGGUUGCCUAUUUUCCACUGCUAAUAACACUACAUUCUUGUUUUCUGAGUUCACGUCAUGAAUUGCUACAGGAAACUUUUCCAAAAUUUUGUCUACCAUUUCUUCGAUGCCAUUUUUUGCUGCUAUUAAUAUGGCUGUCUCUUUCACCGCCACUUCAGAAGUCUCCUUCUUCUCUGCUGCCAUAAGUAUUACAUUUUUCAUGUCCAAGUUUUUAUCUCCCACAGGAAAAUAUUCUACGAGUUUGCACAACAACUUAUCAACACCUUCCUUUACUGGAAACAAUAUAGGUGUCUCUUUCUUUCCCGUUAGGUCUUUUUGCUUGGUAUUUACUGUCAAUGACACAUUGCAGUUUUAACUAAAUUGGUUUAUUAGAUGAUUCUAAGUUACACUAAACGCUAAUUUUAGACAUAAUAAUAAUAAGAAAUAAAUGUCAAUUUAAUCCCCGGACUUGUUUAACAGGUCAAAAAGAUCAUAUUUCACAUUUUGAGCCAAUUUAGUCCCUAAACUUGUAUAAAAUGAUUAAAAAGAUCCGAUUUCACUUUUUAGAUCAAUUUAACCCAUACUUAUGUAAAAUGAUUAAAAAAAAAAUCAUAUUUGACAUUUUGAAUCAAUUUAACUCUAAUUUAUCAUUGCAUUUAUAGUGUGAAAAUCAUUAUGAUUAAAAACAAAUCAUAUUUGACAUUUUCAGUCAAUUUAACCUCUAAUUAUUCAUUGUACUUACAAUGUGAAAAUACAUUUAUUAAAACUAUAAUUGGGAUUGAGUUGAUAGAUUUGUUACAAAAUUAAUUAAUUAUAAAAUGUAAGAAAAUGAUAUAUGAAGUAUAUUGUUUUUCUCUUUACCUUGAUUGAUGGAUUUGAGUUUAUAAAUAUGUAUUGAUUUGAAUAUUUUAAAAUUAACCUCUAUUACUGGGUUAUCGCUUAUGAAAUCUAUGUAUUUUUUAUGUUGAAUAAAUUAAAGUUAUAAUGCAUAUUUAUAAAUUUAUUAUAUUAUAAACAUGAUUUUUUUUUAUGAAUUUUAAAUUUAUAUUCAUACGUAUUGAAAAAAUUUGAUCUGAAUGUUUUUAGUGUAGGACAAAAUGGAUAAAAAGUUAAUCAUGUUAAAUUAAAUUAAUUAUUAAUUUAUAAAAAUCAAAACAAGUUCAAUGGUUAAAUUGGCUUGAAAAGUAAAAUUGAAUCUUUUUAAAUAUUUUAUAUAAGUUCAAGAGUUAAAUUGGCCCAAAAUGUGAAAUUUGAUCUUUUUAUUCCACUAAACAAGUUCAGAGACCAAAUUGACCCUUAUUCCUAAUAAUAACAAUAAUAAUUAAUUAAAGAAAUUAAUACCUUCAUCUUCCUGAGGAUAAUUUUUGGUUGGGCUGAUUUGGUCAGGGUUCUUGUCAUCAGUACUAUUUCCUGAAUGGGGACUUUCACCGGAGAAUGUAUAUUCAUACAUUUUAGCGCGUUGGAGAAGUUUUUCCAUGAUUUGGACAGACCAUAUAUGCUUCUUUUUUUUAUCCUCCAAUUUUCUUAUAUCCGAUGAACCUGAUAAUCAAUUAAUUAGUUAACCAUACAUAUUAAUAUUUAUAUUGUUAAGACUUUAAUAUGCAAAUGAAGGGAAGAAAAACAGACCUAAUCCAAGUACGACUAACAUUGCCUUGGACACAAAUUUGAGGAUGUCAAAGCACGUGUCGUAAUUUGAAGGAACUAAUUCAUGGCUUCGGCUUCUGGUUGCUACUCCAUUUUAUAAACAAGAUAUCCGAAUAUCACUCUUUUAGAGUUAUAAUAAUAGCAAUCAUAUGUUAAACAAGAUUAUUUAGGAAAAACAAUAGGAUUAUUUUAAUCUCACCUUGUUGGUUCUCUGCAUCCCCUCCCGGGCUUUCUGUUGGUGAUUUCUUCGUUUUUGAGAAAAGCUUCCUUCCUUCUAAUGUCAACUUCUUUGCUGGGAUGACAAAAAUGGCUACCAUCAUCAGUCAUACAGCAUUAAAGACUUUAUUAGCAGAAUAAUAACCUAAUGUUGGUUCUUAUUAUUGCAUAAUUAUAAGCAGACAGUUAGAUCAGUAAAAGUGAACUGCAUCAUCUGGAGUCGAAUUUUAUCUUUAAGUGACAAGUUUAUAACUUGAGUCAUUAAUGAGAGGCCCGACCAUAGAAAUAAGUCUAUAAUAAUAGUUCCAUAAAUGUUAGUAAAAGGGAAAUCAUUUUAUUUAUACUUGCCAAAUUCAAAUCCCUUCUUAAUCAAAAGGAAGAUAUCCAUGCACGUCUCGUAGUUUUCUGGAUAAGUGGGCUUGCUAUUGUUAUUGGACGCCGUCACUGAAAAUGAUUGAUUACUUAUCUCCUCCGCCUUAAGCUCCUCAACAAAUAUACCUAAUUUAAAAUAUACGAGAAAUGAAAAGAAAUGAAAUGAACUAAUUUGCAAGAAAUUAAAAACUCAUUAUUUAACAUAUAUAUAUACAUACAGUGAUUUAUCAUCUUCUGGUAGGCUCCAAGAUGGGUACCGCUUCUAAAGGCAUUAGGAUUACUUGCUAGGAGAUGAAGAGGUGUUAUUCCUUCUUCGUUGUGAGCGUUAGCAAGUUCUUCGCACAAAUGGAUUAUUUGAAACGCUAAAUCUGUCAAUUAGACGCAACAAUCCAAAUAUCUGAGCCUAAUAUAUAAUUGAGGAUCAGUACAUUUGUAUAAAAUUUUUGAAAAAUAGAAAAGUUACCAAAAAAUUCCCCUGCAAUGGCAACGUGAAGAAUGGUAUCACCGUCACAGGUUCUCCUGUAAUACGAACGACCUUGAUCAAGACCACAGAUACUAUGAAGGCAAAAAAAUGUUUCCUUUUUCCCAUGAAGAGCAGCCCAGAAUAAUGGAGUCUCGCCUUCCUCAUUUCGUUGACCAAUCAACGACGGUUCUAAAUUAGCAAUGGAGCUACACAUCCGAGCAGUCCCUACUGCGGCGGCCAGAUGUAGAGCUGUAUUCUUUUGCUCGUUAGCGAUUUCCAAAGCUACCUUUGCUUCAUCAGGAUGACUGCUCAUAAGCUUUACCAACUCUUCCACGAUAUCUUCUUGACCGUCGCGGACUGCAAGAUGUAACGACGUGUCGCCUGAUCGGGUAAUUUGUGCACUGUAAGAUUUUGGAUUAACUCUGUAGGAUGCAACCACUUUGUUCCAUUCACCUCUCAUUGCUGAUUUGAACAAGUUAGUCCUUAGAUUAUGCAUCUCAGGAUCGAUGUUAGUUGUUCCCAAAGGAGAACCCAUUUUUUCUGCUUCUUCCUCUUAUGCUGCAAUGAGUAGGUUGAUUAAAAUGGGGGAUGGGUAUGCAAUUAUAAGUAGUUAAGGUGCUUGUGGGACCUUAAAAGACUUGGAUUUCAAGUAUUGUGAGUUCCAACUCGUGAUCUUUGCUCUAUAGAGGGCAAUUUUCUGCACUAGAAUUUUAGCUUUUGCUUUUGCAAAAUUGAUAGGAAAGAAGAAGGAGACAAGUGCAAUUCACGAGUUUUGCUUUUAAAAGUAAAAGUCAUAGACAUACGACUUUUUACUGUUUCAUAAAACUAAAGGGAAAGCGUAAGCUUAAUCUACACAGAGACUCAAAAAUAAUGGCCACCCUAGCUAUACAUAUAUGCAUGCAAAUCGUCACGCCUCUUUGUUACUUUCAAAUAAACCUUACAAUGCUGAAAUUAAAGUGGUAUAUAUUCCAGAUAAUGUGAAUGAAAAAGAAAAAGUUACAAAGACAAAGUAAUAUUCGAUGUGCCAUAUGCAUUAUUUCCAGUCAGUCGGUAAAUUUCUAUUGCUGCUUCACUUUGUCUCAGAAUUCUUAAGUUGUCCUAUAAAUUCCUUUUAAUAUAAAUAAAAAUGAUAAAUUCUUGAACUGACAUAUAAAUGGCUUAGCUUAACAACUGUCAGAGAAAAAAAAAAAAAAAACCAUAUGCAGAGUUUAAACAUUCUGCCAAACUUCAGUUUACGUCAAGGGACCUGUCUAUUUAUUUCUUUUUAAGAUAUCGACAAAUGUUAUUCUCUUUUUUUACAUCCAUUAUUUGUCUCAUUUUAAUAAUUGUGUUUCAAAGACACAUUUACAGUGUGAAGUAUGGUCGUCGAAGAUGAUACAUAUGUAUAUGGGAUAGAGUUAAAAAAAAUUGUGGUGUAAGUUUCAAAUAUCUAUUAACACAGCACAAUUUGAUAACCUAAUUCAGUAUAAAGAGGUCUGUGAUUGAGAAAUCAUAAAACAUUAAUCAGUAACAUGCUGGUCGGAUAAAACGUGAGAGGGUAAAAAAUUUUGGAUAAAACUUUUUAGUUCAAAAAAUUUUGGAUAAAACAUUAAUUCAAUGAUUAGAAACACCUCCUUGAAUAUGAACCAAACAAAUCAAAAACAAUUUUUUAGUUCAGAGAAUGGUAUUUCUGAAUCAUCAAUUGAAAAAAAAAAAAUAGCACAAUAACGAUUAAAAAAAAUCAUUUUUCCUGUAUUUUGAUAUAUAUGUGCAAACCCCAUUCACCGCUAUAGGCAACUAUCUUUAGUACAUUGAUGUGGCCCUAAUAAUUUUUUUUAAAGAAUUACUCAUAAAAUAUUGAAUUUUUUUUAUUUUAUCCUCUAAUUUUUCAAUUUCACCCCUUUAAAUUUUUUUUAGCCCUCUAAUUUUAAUUUCCGGCUCUAUUGCUGGUGUGAUGCAACAGUUAUAAGGAGAUAUAAGGCUUGUUGAUUAACCCUCUCUUUAUUUAUACUAAAUAUAUUUGUUACACCACACAUUCCAUUAUUACAAGCAUCGAUGUGAAUAUACAUUUAUUAUAUUAUAUUACAUACUUAGCUAAAAAGGGCCAUGAUCAAUGAUGAGAGGGCCUCAGUCUAUGAAGAAAAUUGUGGAUGGCACAAACCGGAACUUUGUAAACUUGGGGGAUUUCCAAAUAUAGGCUCAGCCGAUGAACAGGUUGACAUCAUACUAGUGAGUUGAGCAUGUCCCCAGGGCCAAAGCCAGCAAAGCAAUUCUUGCGGACAGGCUUUCAGACUAUCCGGUGUUUUCUCAGUUAAGUAUGCAGGAUCAAACUCUACAUCAUCAAGCUUCACUGGCGAAACAGCAGAACGAUCACGCACGAUAGUCAAGUAGUCUUUUGUCUUACCUUGAAAAUUAUACUCCAAGAACGCCACAGUGAUGCCACCUACACCUCUCCUCAUUGGAGCAUUGGAACCGCUUCCGUUGGCAGUGCACAAAUCAUUGAAAAAUUGUACGACAAAAUCCGAAGUUAGAUCAUCAUUUAACAUGUCCAAGAGACCAUACUCAGUAAUAACAAAAUGGCCUUUGGGAGGUUUGGAUUUGGAGAAAAACUCCUUAUGGUUCAGGUUGUCAGGAGCACAGGCAGGCCAAAAAGGGAAAUGGGGAUGUUUUGGUUGAUCACCUAAUCCAGUUCCGAUUAUGGUAACAGGAACCGAUAAGUCAAACGUACCGUCUCUGAGAAUUAUAGGCUCACUACAUUCUUUGCCAAGCCCUGCAACAGGAUCUACUCCUAAUAGUGCUGAAAUAUUCACUUCCUGCAAUGAGGUCUUGGCCUUUCCAAGUGCAAGUGCAAAUGCUAUCUUUCCACCUCUACUGUGGCCUGCAAGAGCAAGUUUAUUCUGUAAGUCUCCUUUGACACUUCCAGGAAGUACAGACUGGAGCCCUGAGUACAACCAUUUUGCGACUUGUGCUGCCCACUCGAGUUCUGUAUCUCCACAUACUGGUAGUUUAGGUAUGUCCAAUUCCCAAGGAAAGAUAAUAUGUAACUUCUCCGUGCAACCAUAUAGCUGAGAAUUACGAUUUCAUGACACCAAGGAAAUUUUUAGGCAGAAUAACGUCAAGUAAAUGUGUGUGUGUAUAUAUAUAUAUAUAUAUAGGGUACAUGCAAAUCUAUAUUACAGAAGCGUCAAACAUGAACAAUCUAGCAAGAACAAAUGAAUAUAGAAAAUGUUUUGGUUAGGUUCACUAGGAACCUAGAAACGUUUACUGGCACAUGGACCCAGUGCGGGUUCAGGAUAGCAAGCAAUACUGGCACAUACCAAAUAUGCCAGAAAUGGGUUUAAAAGUUAAUUACAUGAAAUUCAUUAUGCCAAACAAGUUCAUGUACAUAUAGCUCUGGAAAUGGAAAAGAAAUACCUGAGGAGCGACGAGUAUAUAUCCAUGGGAAGCUAUAUGUUCAAAAAGUUGAGUGUAGUAAGAGUUUUGGAGGCAGGUGCCAUGUAGAAACAGAAUGACGGGAUAAGUGCCAUCCUCAACUGGUCUAACAAUUAAUAAGGGUUUAGGAGGCGAAUCGUCGCCAAGCUGUGAUUGAUUCACAUGACAACAUACUGUUGACAAGUUUCCUGUUUCGAAGACACUAAGUGUUUCUGUUGCCAAAGUGUGAGAUGCAAACAGCAUAACUAACAAAGUCACCAGCAGUUUUGCCAUCUCUUUCUCUGUGUAUGGGAGAGAAAGAGAGUGCUCUACCUGUUUUUAUAGUGCUGUUUCAUUUUUCUCGGCAUUCGUUUUUCCUCCCUACUUUUGGAAUUUAGUACAGAAGAAUCAACGAACUAUGCAUAUUGUUCACACUUCAAAGUUUUCACAUUUUCUUUCACCGGAUCGACAUGCAUUUCACGAUGGAAUCGGAAUUGAACUUGGAACUAUAAAAUAUCGUCAAGUAAAUAGUCCCAACGGACAAAACUAAUAAAAUCCUGCCGUGUGAACUGCAGAAAAUGGCACUGAAAUUUGUCUAUAAAUAUUUAAUAGGUCGACGACAAAUUUGUGGCAGGUAUAAGUAAAGCCAAUCAGCCUGCAAAACUCCAAAUCCAGCUGGAGCCUACUUAUUUAUUUCUCCCUGGUCCCUAGCAUAUCAUCUUCUACUUUUUUUACAUCCUUAAAAACUCUAACGGUUCAAUACUCAAGAUAAAAUUUGAUUUUUCAAGCCGAGUGUGAAUCUAUACAAUUUUUUACAUUGACAAAUGGUUAUUUUGCAUCAGAGCAUUGGAAUUCACUAUCAUAACAUCAUGAUUAGAUGUUAGGGCCUGAAGCUGGCACGAACUUAUCAUAUAUUUUUCUUUUUUGAUCAGCAAAUUUUUUUUCUUUGUAGCUUGAGCCACCCAUGUAAUGAGUCAAUAGUGAAUUGUCAUUUAGAAAAUUAUCACAAUUUGUGCUAAUUUUUGUUCUAUAUUUUCCAGUAAAAAGACUAUAACACUCUCUAAUAUUUAAAAAAAAAAAAAGAAGAUAAUCCUCUCAGUUGCACCAAAUAAGUUUGUUGGACUGACUUGAUAUAUGGAUGAGCUACACAUCGAAUGUAGGUAAGUCUUUCUCGUAUAAAAACCUACCGAUAUUUUACAGUAUUAAUUUUUUCUUAAUCUUGUAACAUUCAAAUUAUAUCUAACCAGAACUCAUUCAUCACUUCAAUAUUAUUUUUUAUACAUUUAUAGAACCGUAAUUUAAAAAACAAGAAUCAUAUGAAUUUUGGCUUAUUGAAAUGCAGGAUUACAAAUUCAACCCCUUGAAGAAAAUUAGUAAGAGAACAAUAAUUCAAUGUCACGUAUAUGAGUCGUCUGCAAGAGUUAAGCAGUCGCCAAAACCAAAUUAACCAUAGAAAAAGAAAGCAGAAGAAUCACAAAUUCAAGUCAUUCUGGCAGCUAAACUUGGGCAUGGUUUUAUGCUUCAGUGAAUUGAACAGGAUCAAGCUUGACAGGAGCAACAGAAGGUUCCUGCACAAUAGUCAAAUAGUCUCCACUUUGACCUUCAAAAUAAGCCUUCAAAAACGCCACAACGAUACCACCUACAGUUUUCCUCAUAGGCUCCUUAGGACUCUGACUACUCUUGCACAGAGAAUUAGUCAAUCUGCCUACUAAAUCCUUUAUAUUCUCAUUCAACAUAUCCAUAUGACCAUACUCUGCUGCAACAAAAUGGGUAGUAGGGGCUCUACACUCGUUGAAAAACUCUUCAUGGUUAACCUCAUUUGGCGCACAAGCAGGGCAAACAAGCCAGCAUAUUGGCUGGUUACCCAACCCUGUACCAAUCACAGUUACAGGUAUCGAUAAGUCUAGAGAUUGUGGCAGAUAUGUAAAGGUUUUGGGUAGAGUAGGGUUGUUUUUGCUCAUUCCUUCUACAGGGUCUAAAGCUGCUAGGGCUAAAAUUUUUAGUUUUAAAGGAAUGUUUGCAUAUCCAAGUGCAAGAGCAAAUGCUGUCUUUCCUCCUCUACUAUGGCCUCCAACAGAAAGCUUGUUUAGGUCUGCUUUAAUAUUUUCAGGAAGUACAGAUUGGAGGCCUGAGGCUGAGGGCAACCAGUUCAUAACUUCUGCUGCGAAUUCGAGCUCUCUUGGUCCACUGAUGGGUAGCAUAGGUAUCACUCGGUUUAUCAGGCAUGAAUACAACUGAGAAUUAAACAAUAUAUCGUUAUCAUAUAAAAUUCCAACAAAACAAGGAGGGGGAUCAUCCCUUUCAAUUAGAGACAUUAUGCACUAGAAGCCAAAUAUAUGUAUGUUAUAUACCUGAGGAGCUACAACUAUAUAUCCAUGAGAAGAUAUAUGUUCAAGAAUAUCAGUGUAGAAAUAGUUGGAGAGGCAGGUGCCAUGGAGAAACACAAAGACAGGAUAUGUGUCUUCAACAUUAAUUGGUGUAACAAUUAAUAAAGGUUUAGGAGGUGAAGCUGCAGACUGAUCUGAUUCCUCCACUUGAUAAUAUGUGGUGGAUAAUUUUCCUGUUCCAAAAACACCUAAACUACUAGACCUAGCUUCCAAUGAUGAAGAUGCUAGAAGUGUUACUAAGAGGGUUAUUAGCAGCAGUUUUGCCAUUAAUAUAGUUCUGUAAUUAAAGAAGAAAGUUAUGGAUGAGAAAUUUAAACUAAUUUAUGCUGUGCCCUAUAUAUAGUGUUGUAAGAGCUUACAAAAUUGAAUACUGAAUUUUCCAUAUAUGGCAUGCUUUUGUACGUAUCUGGAAAAAUUGGGUGGGAGAGUUCAUAGAUCUUUUCCUCGGUCUUUCAAGGAAUUACACAUCAUCUUUGCUGUCUAUUCCUCCAAACAAUUCAUUUGAACUUUCCAAACUUAAAGAUAUUCGUUAUUUAAGACGGAAGAAGAAGCUAUACACAGUAACUAACAAAAACUGAUAACUAAUUAGUAAUUAGUGAAGAGAAUAAUAAUUAGGAAAUUCUAAUAAUUAAAGAGUUAAUACCCAAGUAGAUUUUUAAUUAGAUUGGUAUUAAAUUGAUUUCAAACGUCCUGAUUUGUGAAUAUAUUGUUCAACAGAAUAAUAAUGUGGGUGGACCAAUUACCUGUUAGGAGACAUUUGACUCCUCAAAUUAGACUACAUGCCUAGAACCUAUUAGGCCCAUUCUAGUACUUUUCAAUGUUUAACCCAAAAAAAGCCCAAUCCACUACUUAGACAAGCCGUUGGCCCAAAAUCCUUACCGAAUUCAACAACACUAUUGAGAGAGAGUUCUAACUUCGGUAUGUAUUGUAGUAGAUAUCAGAUCAGAUCUGCUCUGCUCAUAGUUUUGGUAUCCCUACCAUUUAUCUAAAAGAGUCCAUUUAUAUAAUUAAGCAUUUGACAUUUAAUAUAAUUAAAUAUCAAAUACUCAAUUAACUAAAAAAAUAUAAAUGCCGACAAUAUUUUGAUGUAUAACUUGACCAUAAAAUAUCAUUUAGGCUGUAUUUUAUCUAGGAUUGAGAAAUUAACUAUAAGAUAAUGAAUUUAAAUUGUUAGAAUGGAAAUGAGUAACAAAAAUAGAUUAAAAAAAAAAAGAAAGAAUUAAAAUUGCAUAAUAGACUUAUAAUAAGGUUUCAUCAUAAUAGAAUUAUAAUAGAGUUAACACGAGGCAAUUAAGGGCCAAUUCUUCAAUUCUCACAUCAUUACUGGAAAUUUAUUAUGAUUCAGUGAAUGAUGUGUCUUAUUUAAUAGGCUUGUUAUUACACUUGAGCAUGGUUUUGGUGUUGCAUCUUGAACUGGACAGGAUCAAGCGUAACAGGAGCAACAGAAGGAUCUUGCAAAAUGGUCAUAUAAUCUCCACUCUCUCCAAACAGAUAAGCCUUCAAAAAAGCAACAAAAAUGCCACCAACAGUUCUCCUCAUCGGAUCCCUACUGUCUUUACUGUUCUUGCACAUUACAUUUGCCAUAAUCCCCAAUAAUUUAUCUUUUAGCCCAUCAUCUAUCACAUCCAUGUGACCGUAAUCUGUAGUUACAAAAUGGCUAACAGGAUUUUUGCACUCACUGUAAUACUCUACAUGGUUCAUUCCAUUUGGAGCACAAGCAGGACAAACCAACCAGCAAUUUGACUCGUUACCUAACCCAGAACCGAUCACAGCCACUGGAACCGAUAAAUUAAAAGAGUUAGGUAUGUAAGUGAGAACUUUUGGAUCAACGACGAUAUUUUCAGUCCCUUCAACCGGGUCUAGACCUAUUAAUGCUGAUAUGGUUACAGUUAAUGGUGUUUUAGCAUAUCCAAGGGCUAGAGCAAAUGCCAUCUUUCCACCUCUACUAUGGCCUGCAAUAGCAAGCUUGUUUAUGUCUCCUGUAAUAUUUUCAGGUAGAACAUUUUCUAAGCCUGAAAUCAACCAGUUUGCCACUUCCGCUGCAAAGUUAAGCUCGUCCGGUCCGCUUAUCGGUAAUAUGUUAAUUAACCACCUUAAGCAAGAAUAUAACUGCAAGGAAUUCGAUAUAAUCCAACUUCAGUAAUAUUAAGCAAAAUAUAGAUAGACAUGGAAAAAUGGAGAUAUACCUGAGGAGCGACCACAAUAUAUCCAUGGGAAGCGAUAUGCUGGAGGAUAUCAGAGUAGAAAUAGUUCUCAAGGCAUGUGCCAUGGAGAAAUAUAAGAAUUGGGUAGGUGCCAGCUACAGUUGGUCUAGCAAUUAAUAAGGGUUUAGGAGGUGAAGAUUGAACAUUAUCUAAUACUGUGGACAACGUUCCUGGUUCAAAAACACUGAUUGUUUCCUGGUCACGAUAAUUAAAAGGUUUAUGAUUAGCUUCCUUUAGUACUGGUUUAGUUUCAGAAAGAGAAGAAGUUAGAAGUAAUGCAAACAGAGUUAUGAGUAGUUUUGCCAUGUUCAUGAUACAGUGUUACUUGUG